RNAcentral lists this long non-coding RNA (650 nucleotides) under Homo sapiens (human). Its description in RNAcentral is "HSALNT0327219". The record is from RNAcentral. Lineage: Eukaryota; Metazoa; Chordata; Mammalia; Primates; Hominidae.
CUUAUCUUGCACUAGAAGGAUCUGUAGCUUUUCCAGCUGAGAAUGGGGUUCAGGAUACCGAAUCAACACUAGAAAAGAGAGAAACUGGGGAUGAAGAAAACUCAGCUAAAUUUCCUAUAGGAAGGAGAGAUUUUGACAUAUUCUCAGACCACUUCUACCAAAACAUAAAUCUGUGAUUGUGAUCUCUGAAAGUCAGUCCUUUUAUCUACUCAAAAGAAGACACUAAGGUUUUCAGAAAUUAAAUUGCUUUUUGGAAAAGGUGGGAGAUUCUGGGAACAUAGAAACUUGAAUCCAGUUUUCUUCAACUCCACGUCAAGACAGUUGCAUUGUGUGAGAAAAUAGCUACGGCCAUUUGUGUAACUGAUCUGAUAAUGUCAACUUUUGAAAACAGAUAGUUAUGACUCAAGGCUUUGAGAAUGUAAAGAGACGCCCUUCACAUGUUGAGAAAUGGCACGAUUUCACGUUAUCAGUGCAGUUCGGUUCUCAGGGGGAAAGCCCAUCCGUACUACCAGGAGACUGGAUCCGCAAAGUAGACACUUGGUCUCAUGAAGCCACUGCUGGGCUCCAGAGAGAAGGAAAAACUAAGCGGUUUUAAAACCCCCGCCCUCCUUGGUUUACCUCCAUCAUUAAAAAACAACAAUGACAACGAC